GAUGACAUCAUUGCGAAACGGUUGAACGGCGGGGAAAGGGGCAUCCGUAAAGAUCGUGGAUCAUCACGAAGAGCGGGUAAAGACGAAGAGUGUGUUGCGUGGCGGACAGGAGGGGGGUCGAGAAUGAAAAGGAAGACAUGGCUAGCGAUGGCCUCGAGACGCUUCGAAUUUUUUCCGCCACGCGGAACGGUACAAGUUCUCGAUUAGUUCAAACAGCGACGUGUAGUAAAUUUGAAGAAACGUAGUGCGCAACCUUGGUAGAAAGUGAUAAAUCUAUCGAGCUGAAACCACGUGGAAAGAAAUUAUAUAACGCGUCUCGUUCAUUGUAGUUUCUUACGGUAAAUUGCGUUUAUUCGUUCGUAUAUAAGCAGAAAGGGGAACAUUUGUACAGUUCUCGAUCGAUCUUACGAACGAUAUCAGAUGCAAGUUGUUAGAGAAAUUAAGAGGCAGAAUCGAACGACCAACGCUAGACACACAGAAGUCCUGGGCGACUAAAGAGCAAGUGGGAGGAACGGAGAAUGGAAGAACAGCGAAGAGAGAACGACCGAGGUCUUUCUACGUAGAAAACUUACAGAGGGGGGAGAGGAGAACGAAACCGUGAUGUGAUAUAAGUAUGAGAAUUCAGCGGUGGGGUAGACCAGGCAACCAGGCCUUGAACAAGCGAAAAAGAACAGAAAGCUUCGGAUCCUUUACAAUACGCUACACAAACUACCGCUUCAUAAAGUUGCACGAAAAUCGACUACCGCAUCUUCCGUUACCAAAUCGUCGUUUCCAAUCCGUUUGCACGUCUCGUCACUGUGAUUUUUAACGAUUUGGACGUUGUCUCGUUACGAAAACUAAAGACAUGCCCAGAAAUAGAAAGUUACACGUCCAAGUUCCUUUUGACUCGAAUCACGCGCAUAAUUUUAAAACGGCUAAGUCGAGAGUUAAAUUCGAACCAUCGCUACUUCGAAGUUUGUAUAAGCUGUCGCUGUGGGAUUAUCCGAGGCGAUUAAUGCCCACGCGAAAUUUCUAUUUUGAUUACCUGAAACGAGCGUUACCUGGAGCGAACUUGAAUUUUAAUGAUCGUGCACGCAUCCGUAAAAUUGGCGUUACGCAAGAAAGACCGACCUAACCAGCCUCGUUCACAAAAGUGUGCUUUCUAAAAGUGUCGUAACGAGAUAUAGCCGUUCAAAACUGGGAGAUGCUUCUUCUACAAGUAAGCAACCAUCGAGAGAAGCAGGCUAAGUUUCUACGACACUGGAACAAUGAUCAAGCGCAUAAAGAAUUAUAAGGAACUUUUCCGGAAGUGCGUCAGUAGAAUACCGACAAUGCAUAGAACGGCAGUGGCAAGAAAAAAAAAAAAAAAGAAAAAGAAGAAGAAAGGAUGGCCCGAGGAGAAAGAGAAACAGAAAAAUAAGAAGAGUAUGGCUAUCGUCGGAAAUUCGAUUACGCGUUGUAUAACCACAAGUAUAUCAAACCGUUGACACCCCAUCGGGAUUCGUAUCCUGUUUUGAGACACUCGACAAACGUCUGCGUUUUUCGUUCAUUGGGCGUCAUCGUAGCCGCGAAAUUUUUUCUACCUAUGCCGCGAACAGAAAUGAGGAAGAAAAAGGGAGAAGCGAAGGAAAAAUGUCUUACCUUUUAGCGUCACGAUAUUUACGAACGUCGAACGAAACACGUAUCGCUACGUCAAAGGUUGCUAGGCUCCGUAACGUUUUAUCCGGACGAUUACAUUUAUCCUCGUGACCGUGUAUCGACCGUGUAACUUUACGAUUGUCCGUACCGAAGUUCAUACAUUUUUCAUCGGUCAGCUAAAUUUUAAAUAUCGUCGAUAUAUCGCGAUAUAUAGCUUGUCUCUCGAACUCGCCAGAAAUAAAGUCCUUUCCUGCUGU
Long non-coding RNA from Bombus impatiens (common eastern bumble bee), 1874 nucleotides. RefSeq lists it as uncharacterized. The transcript has 2 exons. The record is from RefSeq and is a predicted model, not a curated record. Lineage: Eukaryota; Metazoa; Arthropoda; Insecta; Hymenoptera; Apidae.